GAUGAAGAACGUAGCGAAAUGCGAUACGUAAUGUGAAUUGCAGAAUUCAGUGAAUCAUCGAAUCUUUGAACGCAUAUUGCGCUCUCUGGUAUUCCGGAGAGCAUGCUUGUUUGAGUAUCAGUAAACACCUCAACUUCCAUAUCUUUUUUGAAAUGGGAGUUGGACUUGAGUGAUCCCAACGCUUUUCCUCACCGAAAAGCGGCGGGUUACUUGAAAUGCAGGUGCAGCUGGACUUUUCUCUGAGCUAUAAGCAUAUCUAUUUAGUCUGCCUAAAAAACAGAUUAUUACCUUUGCUGCAGCUAACAUAAAGGAGAUUAGUUCUUGUGCUGACUGAUGCAGGAUUCACAAAGACAGGCUUCGGCCGACUUUGUAAACUCGAUCUCAAAUCAAGUAAGACUACCCGCUGAACUUAAGCAUAUCAAAAGCGGAGGA
RNAcentral lists this unclassified non-coding RNA (432 nucleotides) under soil metagenome. RNAcentral describes it as "partial contains 5.8S ribosomal RNA, internal transcribed spacer 2, and large subunit ribosomal RNA". The stretch from base 1 to 120 matches the Rfam family "5.8S ribosomal RNA", at positions 35 to 154 of the family's 154-position model. The record is from RNAcentral.